GAUGAACGCUGGCGGCGUGCUUAACACAUGCAAGUCGAACGAUGAAGCCCAGCUUGCUGGGUGGAUUAGUGGCGAACGGGUGAGUAACACGUGAGUAACCUGCCCUUAACUCUGGGAUAAGCCUGGUAAACUGGGUCUAAUACCGGAUAGGAGCGUCCACCGCAUGGUGGGUGUUGGAAAGAUUUAUCGGUUUUGGAUGGACUCGCGGCCUAUCAGCUUGUUGGUGAGGUAAUGGCUCACCAAGGCGACGACGGGUAGCCGGCCUGAGAGGGUGACCGGCCACACUGGGACUGAGACACGGCCCAGACUCCUACGGGAGGCAGCAGUGGGGAAUAUUGCACAAUGGGCGCAAGCCUGAUGCAGCGGCGCCGCGUGAGGGAUGACGGCCUUCGGGUUGUAAACCUCUUUCAGUAGGGAAGAAGCGAAAGUGACGGUACCUGCAGAAGAAGCACCGGCUAACUACGUG
This 466-nucleotide ribosomal RNA is filed under the name uncultured bacterium. RNAcentral's name for it is "partial 16S ribosomal RNA". It matches the Rfam family "Bacterial small subunit ribosomal RNA", at positions 28 to 507 of the family's 1533-position model. The record is from RNAcentral.